CCUACGGGAGGCAGCAGUAAGGAAUCUUCCGCAAUGGGCGAAAGCCUGACGGAGCAACGCCGCGUGGGCGAUGAAGGCCUUCGGGUCGUAAAGCCCUUUUCUGUGGGACGAUAAUGACGGUACCACAGGAAUAAGCCACGGCUAACUACGUGCCAGCAGCCGCGGUAAUACGUAGGUGGCUAGCGUUAUCCGGAUUCACUGGGCGUAAAGAGCGCGUAGGCGGUGUGCUAAGUUGGACGUGAAAGCCCCCGGCUUAACCGGGGGAGGUCGUCCAAUACUGGUGCACUUGAGGGUGGACGGGGAAAGCGGAAUUCCUGGUGUAGCGGUGAAAUGCGUAGAUAUCAGGAGGAACACCCGUGGCGAGGGCGGCUUCCUGGCCAUGGCCUGACGCUGAGGGGCGAAAGCCAGGGGAGCGAACGGGAUUAGAUACCCUGGUAGU
This 439-nucleotide ribosomal RNA is filed under the name uncultured bacterium. RNAcentral describes it as "partial 16S ribosomal RNA". It matches the Rfam family "Bacterial small subunit ribosomal RNA", at positions 338 to 794 of the family's 1533-position model. The record is from RNAcentral.